This 121-nucleotide non-coding RNA is filed under the name Levilactobacillus zymae. RNAcentral describes it as "Lactobacillus zymae FMN sequence". It matches the Rfam family "FMN riboswitch aptamer (RFN element)". From Rfam's summary of the family: The RFN element is a highly conserved domain that is found frequently in the 5'-untranslated regions of prokaryotic mRNAs that encode for flavin mononucleotide (FMN) biosynthesis and transport proteins. This element is a metabolite-dependent riboswitch that directly binds FMN in the absence of proteins. In Bacillus subtilis, the riboswitch most likely controls gene expression by causing premature transcription termination within the 5' untranslated region of the ribDEAHT operon and precluding access to the ribosome-binding site of ypaA mRNA. Lineage: Bacteria; Bacillati; Bacillota; Bacilli; Lactobacillales; Lactobacillaceae. The record is from RNAcentral.
GUUCAUCUUCAAGGCAGGGUGGAAUUCCCGACCGGCGGUAACAGUCCGCGACCCACGCUCCCGUGGUUGAUUCGGUGCAACUCCGAGACCGACAGUACAGUCUGGUAUGCAGAAGAUGAGA